GGUGUAGGCGGGACAUUAAGUCAGAUGUGAAAUAUACAGGCUCAACUUGUAGACGGCAUUUGAAACUGGUGUUCUUGAGUGAAGUAGAGGCAAGCGGAAUUCCUAGUGUAGCGGUGAAAUGCGUAGAUAUUAGGAGGAACACCAGUGGCGAAGGCGGCUUGCUGGGCUUUUACUGACGCUGAGGCUCGAAAGCGUGGGGAGCAAACAGGAUUAGAUACCCUGGUAGUCCACGCUGUAAACGAUGAUUACUAGGUGUGGGGGGAUUGAACCCUUCCGUGCCGCAGUUAACACAAUAAGUAAUCCACCUGGGGAGUACGAUCGCAAGAUUGAA
This 331-nucleotide ribosomal RNA is filed under the name uncultured bacterium. Its description in RNAcentral is "bacterial SSU rRNA". It matches the Rfam family "Bacterial small subunit ribosomal RNA", at positions 568 to 898 of the family's 1533-position model. The record is from RNAcentral.